CCAGCACGAAAAGGUGAAGUUCUACUAUGGGAGGGACUCACGCUUUUAGCCUUGCACAAAUCCUCCACUGGUCUCAUGGAGCUCAAGGAGAGGUGUUUUAUUCACUGGAGAUAUCUUACAGGUGGGGAUGGACAACAAAAUAGUGAUGAUAGUGAGAUCGUAUCUAAACUAUGUACCACUCUUGUCAAGCCACACUAAAAGGAUAGGCCAGGUGAUCGAGCCAUGGGAUUUUGGGAGGCUCUACAUUGCGUUUCAGGACAGAAAGGAUGACGCUGCUUAAGCAUCACAAUUAUUGAUUGACUCUCAAGUAAUGAAUCAGACUGAAACUCGAGAUGCUUUUCUGAUUA
Molecule: long non-coding RNA, 347 nt
Organism: Selaginella moellendorffii
Lineage: Eukaryota; Viridiplantae; Streptophyta; Lycopodiopsida; Selaginellales; Selaginellaceae
Exons: 2
Source: RefSeq, a predicted model, not a curated record